CCUACGGGGGUCAGCAGUGAGGAAUAUUGGUCAAUGGCCGGAAGGCUGAACCAGCCAAGCCGCGUGAGGGAGGAAUGCGCAGAGCGUCGCAGACCUCUUUUGCCGGGGGACAAAAGGUCGUACGGGUCCCGUUCUGAGGGUACCCGGAGAAUAAGCAUCGGCUAACUCCGUGCCAGCAGCCGCGGUAAUACGGAGGAUGCGAGCGUUAUCCGGAUUCAUUGGGUUUAAAGGGUGCGCAGGCGGGCCUUUAAGCCGGCGGUGAAAUCGCGGGGCUCAACCCCGCUGAGCCGUCGGAACUGGGAGCCUUGAGUGCAGCGGAGGUAUGCGGAAUGCGCGGUGUAGCGGUGAAAUGCAUAGAUAUGGCGCAGAACCCCGAUUGCGAAGGCAGCGUGCCGUGCCGCCACUGACGCUGAGGCACGAAAGCGCGGGGAUCGAACAGGAUUAGAUACCCGAGUAGUC
This 459-nucleotide ribosomal RNA is filed under the name uncultured bacterium. Its description in RNAcentral is "partial 16S ribosomal RNA". It matches the Rfam family "Bacterial small subunit ribosomal RNA", at positions 338 to 795 of the family's 1533-position model. The record is from RNAcentral.